AGCACUUGAAAAAUUCUAUAUUUACUCAUGAACACAUGAUUAGUAACAUAAUCACUCAAAAUUUUAGAAUCAUCAAAAUUAAUUAUAGAGUCAAUAUAUACAUUUCAGAUAAGAUAUGAUGUUAAAAAAUAAAUACGAUAGAUAAAUAUAAGAACAUAUUUCAUGCUAAUUUAAGUAAAUCAAAUAUUUUUAAAUAUUUAUAUGCAUACAUAAUUAUAAAUCUGACUCGAAUUAAGUAAUAUAUAACUUAACAAUAUUAACUAUGACUACACUUAUAUCCUAUGGUGGGGCUAGAAUGGAAGCAAUGGGCUCAAUCAAAAUGUGAAUGCAUAAUCUAUAUUAACAGGAUCCAGAAAACUAAUGCAUAACCUCCAUUGACAGAGUCAAAAAAAACCAAUGCACAACUCCCAUUGAUAUGAUUUAGAGAACUAAUGCAUAAUCUCCAUUGACAAGAUCUAAAGAAUAUCAAUAUAUAACCCUC
RNAcentral lists this long non-coding RNA (481 nucleotides) under Elaeis guineensis (African oil palm). RNAcentral describes it as "long non-coding RNA (EGUI_LNC041184)". Lineage: Eukaryota; Viridiplantae; Streptophyta; Magnoliopsida; Arecales; Arecaceae. The record is from RNAcentral.